Molecule: long non-coding RNA, 246 nt
Organism: Mus caroli (Ryukyu mouse)
Lineage: Eukaryota; Metazoa; Chordata; Mammalia; Rodentia; Muridae
Source: RefSeq, a predicted model, not a curated record
GAGACAUUUUCUUCAGUGCUGUAGUCCCUGAGUUAACUGACCUUGCUCCUGUGCAUGAUCCCUCCCCAGUGUUCCUGCUUCCAUACCGUGGUAGAUCACUGCAGUUCGAUGGUUUCCUCCAGUCUGCAGUAGAUCCUCCCAGACUGAGUUGCGGUGUCAGGUUUGAGGAGAGGAACGCAGACACGAGCCCUCCCCCUAUUUCACGCCCAGAGCACGUGGAACACCCAACUGAGGUUCUGAUUGGCU